RNAcentral lists this ribozyme (64 nucleotides) under bovine gut metagenome. RNAcentral describes it as "Pistol ribozyme". It matches the Rfam family "Pistol ribozyme". The record is from RNAcentral.
ACUCGUGCCGGCGAGUAUAAACAGGCAAUUAAGCCGGCAGCGUCCGCCUCCUAUGAGGCGGGGU